RNAcentral lists this non-coding RNA (21 nucleotides) under Caenorhabditis elegans. Lineage: Eukaryota; Metazoa; Nematoda; Chromadorea; Rhabditida; Rhabditidae. The record is from RNAcentral.
UGACAAUAACAUGUGUGUAUC